AAUGGGCGCAAGCCUGAUCCAGCCAUGCCGCGUGAGUGAUGAAGGCCCUAGGGUCGUAAAGCUCUUUCGCCUGUGAAGAUAAUGACGGUAGCAGGUAAAGAAACCCCGGCUAACUCCGUGCCAGCAGCCGCGGUAAUACGGAGGGGGUUAGCGUUGUUCGGAAUUACUGGGCGUAAAGCGCGCGUAGGCGGAUUAGUCAGUCAGAGGUGAAAUCCCAGGGCUCAACCCUGGAACUGCCUUUGAUACUGCUAGUCUUGAGUUCGAGAGAGGUAAGUGGAACUCCGAGUGUAGAGGUGAAAUUCGUAGAUAUUCGGAGGAACACCAGUGGCGAAGGCGGCUUACUGGCUCGAUACUGACGCCGAGGUGCGAAAGUGUGGGGAGCAAACAGGAUU
RNAcentral lists this ribosomal RNA (392 nucleotides) under uncultured Gammaproteobacteria bacterium. RNAcentral describes it as "bacterial SSU rRNA". It matches the Rfam family "Bacterial small subunit ribosomal RNA", at positions 370 to 779 of the family's 1533-position model. Lineage: Bacteria; Pseudomonadati; Pseudomonadota; Gammaproteobacteria. The record is from RNAcentral.